GAUCCUGGCUCAGGAUGAACGCUGGCGGCGCGCCUAACACAUGCAAGUCGAACGGCACCCCUCUCCGGAGGGAAGCGAGUGGCGAACGGCUGAGUAACACGUGGAGAACCUGCCCCCUCCCCCGGGAUAGCCGCCCGAAAGGACGGGUAAUACCGGAUACCCCGGGGUGCCGCAUGGCACCCCGGCUAAAGCCCCGACGGGAGGGGAUGGCUCCGCGGCCCAUCAGGUAGACGGCGGGGUGACGGCCCACCGUGCCGACAACGGGUAGCCGGGUUGAGAGACCGACCGGCCAGAUUGGGACUGAGACACGGCCCAGACUCCUACGGGAGGCAGCAGUGGGGAAUCUUGCGCAAUGGGGGGAACCCUGACGCAGCGACGCCGCGUGCGGGACGGAGGCCUUCGGGUCGUAAACCGCUUUCAGCAGGGAAGAGUCAAGACUGUACCUGCAGAAGAAGCCCCGGCUAACUACGUGCCAGCAGCCGCGGUAAUACGUAGGGGGCGAGCGUUAUCCGGAUUCAUUGGGCGUAAAGCGCGCGUAGGCGGCCCGGCAGGCCGGGGGUCGAAGCGGGGGGCUCAACCCCCCGAAGCCCCCGGAACCUCCGCGGCUUGGGUCCGGUAGGGGAGGGUGGAACACCCGGUGUAGCGGUGGAAUGCGCAGAUAUCGGGUGGAACACCGGUGGCGAAGGCGGCCCUCUGGGCCGAGACCGACGCUGAGGCGCGAAAGCUGGGGGAGCGAACAGGAUUAGAUACCCUGGUAGUCCCAGCCGUAAACGAUGGACGCUAGGUGUGGGGGGACGAUCCCCCCGUGCCGCAGCCAACGCAUUAAGCGUCCCGCCUGGGGAGUACGGCCGCAAGGCUAAAACUCAA
This 867-nucleotide ribosomal RNA is filed under the name human gut metagenome. RNAcentral's name for it is "bacterial SSU rRNA". It matches the Rfam family "Bacterial small subunit ribosomal RNA", at positions 15 to 904 of the family's 1533-position model. The record is from RNAcentral.